This is a non-coding RNA of Heterocephalus glaber (naked mole-rat), 3748 nucleotides long. NCBI's taxonomy places the organism in Eukaryota, Metazoa, Chordata, Mammalia, Rodentia, Bathyergidae. The record is from RefSeq and is a predicted model, not a curated record.
AGCGCUUGUACUCUUGGGGAUAAUGUCUGAGGAACUGCUACUACCUGUGCGGCCGGGGUCUGGACUCGGAGACUGUCCUCCAAGCUUUGGGUCGUUCGCUAGGAAAAAGACUCCCUCUCCGCCGCGCUCUGGGGAUAUGUGCCUAUCUGCGGAUUCGAGGAGAUCGAGUUUCACUGGACCCGGGAGUUGGGGCCACGGCUCGGGGAGCUGAGGCCGGAGGUGUCUCCUCCGCUCCAUCCCUGCUCGGGAAUCUUUGACGCAUCGCGCUCGAGACGCCGUUGCCUGGGUUCCUGCUCGCCCAGCUUUGUGGAAGGAUAGCUGGACGUCGCGAGGCUUUAGCCUGAGCCAUCGGUCAGGCUGGGUCAGACGUGCACACUCUUGGUGUAGCCGCCGCGCCAGGGCGGAACUCCCACCGCGGCCUCGCCGGGUAGACGUGCCAGGUCUCGGGUGCCUGGCCCUGCUGCGCCUUGGCGCCCAGAGCCCUCUGCGGGGAACAGGGACUCCAGACUCACCUGGAAACACUGGUUUCGAGGAACCUCUCCACCUUUGACUCCCCAGGGACUCCUGGGACGUGCAGCCGUGUAAAAGAGCUGCUCUCUCUCCUGCCCGGGAGUCUGGCAUCUCCCCAUCACACACGCACAUCUGGAGAGGGAAAGGAAGGGCCCAGCUACAGCCCAUUACGAAGCCACCAGCAGUCCAGACCGUUCCAGCCAAUUUCCGUUGCUCGUUCCUCCUGUGUGCACGCGCACGUGCUCGCGUGUGCACACAUUCUGAAUUCAAGAUGGAGAAACUGGGCCUACAAAAGCUGGGAGGGAUUUUUUUUCCCUAGUGACCCCCAAACUCCGUACAGCUGUGUCCUGCGCCUUCAGGAGCUGGUUGCAGCCUCACACUCCUUAUCCUUAGGUCUGAGAAUGUACAAUGCGAAGAAAUACCUCAGGGCAGUUUGUUGGCUGUUGGAAGCAUUUGUACAGCUUCUUUCAGUCCACAGCACGCUUUUCUGGCACCUGCUCUGCCCUAGUCCUGGGCCCAAGCCCCGGGGACACUGAUGAUUCAGGCUUACCUCCUGAACCCCUGGCCCGGGGGUGCUCACACUGGUUGUGCCCUCUGCCUUGCCAGGCUGUGUGCUUUUCUGCAGGGAGCACAGUCUGGGCCAUGAGCAGCUGUGGUUGCUGCUAAACAAGGUUAUGGCCUGGACACACACCCAAGACCUUCCAUCCUUUGUUCAGGCCCUCCCUACCCCGAGGCGGGCCUCCCCUGUGGACACUCAGUACACUGGUACUCUAAUCCUGCAGUGGCUCCUUAGGUCUUGGCUGGAGGAGUAGUCAAGUGCUUUGACAGCCAUUCUGGUGUGGAUCCAUUCAGAGCUGCCCCUUUCAUCAAGGAUGCCCCAGCUUCCUGCAAAUUGCCAGCCUUGCCAUUUCUGCUCCUGCACCACCUCCUCCAUGUGCCCCAGCCCCUGCACUCACUGUCAGCCAGGUUGCCUGACCCAAUCACACAUCUAUGUCUCUUAUCUGCAAAGGGGGUGGCAAAUGGGGUGCUGCCAGAGGAAGGGCUGUCUGUGGCCAUGUCAGCACAGAGCCAGAUGCAGAUGAACUGUGGAAAAGUGUUUGUUGAAUGAGUGGUAUUUUAUCUUUCUCUAAAAGCUGAAGCCAAAAAAUACAUCACAACAGCUCAAAGCCUUGUGUGAGUCAGAGGUUUAAGGCUUGUUUGCCUUCUCCAUGGGCACAAAAUGCCUAUCAGGCAAGAAACUUCUUGGGGAGAUGGCAGAAUUCUCUGGCCCUUCUGCCAGAGGUGGAGCCCUUGGAGAUGUCCUCACUAGAGAGAGGAGCGACAGAGCAGGAGGGCCCCAGCAGGAGCCUCAAGCUGAGAUCAAAGGUGAUAUUUUUACAGCAACUGAAAUAGAAAACCACUGGACACAGUGGGAGGUGAGUGGCCGGGACACAGGCCCCUCUAUGAUGCCUGUGGCUUCAGCAAGCAUUCUGCCCUCUGCCUUGGGUGUGGGGGACUGUGUGGUGAUCUUCCCAACCAAGGUUCAAGGAGGAAACAGACAUGAGCAACAGCCCUCAGUGCUGGGAGAGGAGAGGGACAUCAGUGAAGGAUCAUAGUGAGCACUCGGUGCCUGACAUCCUCACCCCAGACCACUCUGUAACUGUGCAGUAGUGUCUGAGUUGUUCCAGGGCUUCUUGGUACACCGUUUCAUCUGUACAGAGGCCUCUGAGGAGGAUUAUUGUCACCCCUGUUUUACUGAGAGUGCUUGAAACUAAGUCCUGUAGGGAAUUGGGGGCCAAUUCAGAACUAGAAGCCUGGGGCUGCUGGUCCAAGAUUCUUUCUGCUCUUUUUUUUUUUUUUUGGUACCAGGGAUCGAACGCGGGUCCUUGCGCUUGCACAGCAGGCAGCAAAACCACUGAGCUACAUCCCCAGCCCUUCUUUCUGCUCUUUAUAAUCCUGCCCACCUACUCAUGCUCCAAAUCACUGUUCCCAUUAGCACUGGUCCUGGCUGCCCCUUCCAUAAUAGCACCCACAGUCAUGUCCACGAAAGCAGUGGGACUCAAAGCAUGGCCCCCAGAUCAGCAGCAUCAGCAUUAUCCAGGAACAUGCUAGAAAUGCAGAUUGUCAGGUCCCAACCCAGAUUUACCUAACCAGAAACGAAGUUGGGCCCAGCCCUCAAGACUUCAACAUACUCUCCAGGUGAUUCAGUUGCACUAACGGUGAGGAUCACUGCACUGUGUUACCUCAGUUUCCACAUCUGUACUCUACAGAAAAAAACACCUGUCUCACAAGGUUGAGCCCAGUGUUGUCUAACACACAUGCUAGGUGUGUGCCCUGUGCCAAGCAUCCUUCCAGCCCUUUGCAGGCAUUAACUCACGUAAUUUCACAACCCUGUGAGAUAGGAGCUAAGUCUCCUCAUCUCACAGAUGAGGAAAUGGAAGCACAGAGAGGGAAAGGGACUUGGCCAGGGUCGCACAGCUAGGAAAUAGCUGGGUUCUAGAAUCCCAGCUCUUUACAGCUAACCAAUAGAAAGUCCCUGACAAUGGGUCUGGCUCCCAAAUGUUCUGGGCAUGACUAAAAAUGUUAUGAUGGCAAUUAGUAUUACCUCACCUGAACUCAAGAUGAUGACCCCCAUUCUGUAAAUGUGAAAUCUGCUGCCUUGUCAAGAUCGAGGCGUGAGUCAGCUUCAACCACAGCCACAGUGUCUGAAACCCCAGUACAGCACAGGCCUCUCCCUUCCCUGAUCCAGGAGACCACAGUGUACCAUUCUGGGCUGCUGGAACAACCCAGCUGGUUGCAGGGUAGAAUGUGGGCUCUGGCAGAGAGGGAGCUGGAGCCCCAGUUUGGCCACUCAAGUUCUGCGUGACCUCUCUGAACCUCACAUUCCUUCUCUGUAAAUUGAUCGAUGACAGUCCUAACUCUGAAGGUUCCUGUGAGGUUGGAGACAAUGACAUUUGUCCCAACCCAGAGCAUGCACAGAGCUGGCUAUCAUCAAGCAACUUGCCCCUCUCUUCCCCCUGUGGCUGCUAGCUCAGUGGAAACAGCAGCUCCGAAUCCAGAAAGGUUUUGAAAGGAGAAGAAAUAAGUUCCCAAGAACCCAAGUGCUUUUAUCCUCCAGCUUCCCUAACCUGUUCCACAUCUCUCCUGCCCAAGGUGUUGGGGUUAAAUACUGACACCAGCUGCACCCAAGUCAGGAGUCCAGUUACCUGCAAAAGGGAGAGGCGUCUUACUCCCCCAGCCUCAUUGGCUAGGCAGGCAA